RNAcentral lists this ribosomal RNA (882 nucleotides) under Triticum aestivum (bread wheat). Its description in RNAcentral is "partial small subunit ribosomal RNA". The record is from RNAcentral. Lineage: Eukaryota; Viridiplantae; Streptophyta; Magnoliopsida; Poales; Poaceae.
AUGAAGACCUUUCUCAUCCUUGCACUCCUUGCUAUUGUAGCAACCACCGCCACAAUUGCAGUUAGAGUUCCAGUGCCACAAUUGCAGCCACAAAAUCCAUCUCAGCAACAACCACAAGAGCAAGUUCCAUUGGUACAACAACAACAAUUUCCAGGGCAGCAACAACCAUUUCCACCACAACAGCCAUAUCCGCAGCCGCAACCAUUUCCAUCACAACAACCAUAUCUGCAGCUGCAGCCAUUUCCGCAGCCGCAACUACCAUAUCCGCAGCCGCAUCUACCAUAUCCGCAGCCGCAACCAUUUCGACCACAACAACCAUAUCCACAACCGCAACCACAGUAUUCGCAACCACAACAACCAAUUUCGCAGCAGCAGCAACAACAACAACAACAACAACAACAACAGAUCCUUCAACAAAUUUUGCAACAACAACUGAUUCCAUGCAGGGAUGUUGUAUUGCAACAACACAGCAUAGCGCAUGGAAGCUCACAAGUUUUGCAACAAAGUACUUACCAGCUGGUGCAACAAUUGUGUUGUCAGCAGCUGUGGCAGAUCCCCGAGCAGUCGCGGUGCCAAGCCAUCCACAAUGUUGUUCAUGCUAUUAUUCUGCAUCAACAACAACAACAACAACAACAACAACAACAACAACAACCGUUGAGCCAGGUCUCCUUCCAACAGCCUCAACAACAAUAUCCAUCAGGCCAGGGCUCCUUCCAGCCAUCUCAGCAAAACCCACAGGCCCAGGGCUCUGUCCAGCCUCAACAACUGCCCCAGUUUGAGGAAAUAAGGAACCUAGCGCUAGAGACGCUACCUGCAAUGUGCAAUGUCUAUAUCCCUCCAUAUUGCACCAUUGCUCCAGUUGGCUUCUUCGGUACUAACUGA